RNAcentral lists this ribosomal RNA (79 nucleotides) under Papillifera papillaris. RNAcentral's name for it is "partial 28S ribosomal RNA". It matches the Rfam family "Eukaryotic large subunit ribosomal RNA", at positions 1 to 77 of the family's 3401-position model. The record is from RNAcentral. RNAcentral also lists the same sequence under 9 other names. Lineage: Eukaryota; Metazoa; Mollusca; Gastropoda; Stylommatophora; Clausiliidae.
UCCGACCUCAGAUCGGACGAGAUUACCCGCUGAAUUUAAGCAUAUAACUAAGCGGAGGAAAAGAAACUAACAAGGAUUU